This 76-nucleotide transfer RNA is filed under the name Psychromonas arctica. Its description in RNAcentral is "tRNA-Val". It matches the Rfam family "tRNA". From Rfam's summary of the family: Transfer RNA (tRNA) molecules are approximately 80 nucleotides in length. Their secondary structure includes four short double-helical elements and three loops (D, anti-codon, and T loops). RNAcentral also lists the same sequence under 13 other names. Lineage: Bacteria; Pseudomonadati; Pseudomonadota; Gammaproteobacteria; Alteromonadales; Psychromonadaceae. The record is from RNAcentral.
GGGCGAUUAGCUCAGUUGGGAGAGCAUCGCCCUUACAAGGCGAGGGUCACUGGUUCGAACCCAGUAUCGCCCACCA